This is a long non-coding RNA of Galleria mellonella (greater wax moth), 2808 nucleotides long. RefSeq lists it as uncharacterized. Lineage: Eukaryota; Metazoa; Arthropoda; Insecta; Lepidoptera; Pyralidae. The record is from RefSeq and is a predicted model, not a curated record. The transcript is spliced from 5 exons.
CGUUCGUGUCGUUUAUAUGUAUCUAUUUGAUAAUACAACGGAAUAUUUUAUUCUAAUAUUGGUUACAUCCAUUUGUAGAUAAAGAUUUGUGUUAUUUGCUUUAAAUAGUUGCAUAAACACCGCGUGUGUACGGGACGUUCUAUUUUUAAACAGUUCGCGAAAAUGGCGGAAUCCAGUGGUAAAUUUUUACUAAGUGCCUGCCCAUCGUCGUAAUUUAUCAUAGCUGUAUGAAUUAUAUUUCGUCAAAGGUUCAAGGAUAGUGGACAAAUCCGGAUGUCGGGCUUACAUCUGCCGUCUACAGACUAGAGUGUAGGAUGUGAGCUGGGAACACACGUGCGUCGGCCGCCCAAUGGCAUUCUCGACUCUCGAACAUGACUCGGGAACUCAACGCAUACAGCCAUAGCUGGGCACUUGGCGGGGAAUAAAUAAAAUCUGAAGACGAAGAAUCGACUAGAACAAUGUCUAGUGCGACGGAAUAAAUCGGAUGUAGAUGGAGGAUACGAAUGCGAUCGUCUGUAUGCACAAAGAAGAGCUCGGCACUAUCAUAUUCUGCAUUCCAUAUUGUGACAAAUUCCAUUUUGCUCACAUCUGGGAUGCCGUGUAUCAAAAUUCACGUUGCGCAUUGUCGUACCAACGCCAUCUGCUGCAUAAACUGCAAACUAGAAGUUACCCACUACCGGACAACAGAUGGCGCUAUCAAUAUUUCAAGAUGGGAGCUGGCGAAAAUGAACGUAAUGCGCUGUGCCCUUGUCAUUCUUCUUGCCCAGUGUUAUUACACUACUGGACGGAGAACUGAUAAGGGCAUAUCCAUUGCAAAUUCUACAUGGACCCAAAGUCGGUGGAUGCUGUUGGCUCCAGGGCUGUUCCUUAUGACAGUCUAUGGAAGAGAGUCAUCAGCAGUGGACAGUUCAGUGGCUGACAUGAUGAUCACCAACUAUUAAGAUAAUGCAAUCAUAACUUUCACCAUUUGUUCAUUUUGUUAAUAACCUUUAUUCCUUUAUUAAUAUGUAGACACUAAUUGAACAAUAUUCCAAAGUUGAAUUUUCAGUUCAACUCACCAGAGGGAGACUUUGUACAAAAGUCGAUUGCUUGGGUACCUCUGUCCCAUUCGUGUUUCAACCGUGAAGCAGUUGUUUGCAUGGCUGCGUUUCGGUUUUAAGAGUGUAACUCCGCCUGCGAUAUCGGUAUACGCUGACGGGGCACCAGUGAGGGAUGGAUGAUAGGUGAGGGUGAAAGCAGGUCAGUUAGCCCAUCGUGAAGAAUUCCGUGAGAAUUAACCACCAUGGUUUCCAGAGGGAACCGCGUGGAUAUUGCUAGCAAUGGAACUUCUAGAUCCCAUUACUAACAAUCCCUUCCCCCCUUGCCAUGUAGUUACCAUUAUAUCAACAUGUCUUCUUUUCAUUUAAGAGUCUCCUCUUGUCGGUGCAACUAAUCCAUGCAUCUUCCUCCAGCCAGCUCUAUCGCAGGCCAUAUCCUUUAUCUCCCUAUACGAUAUGACACCUAGUGUUUCCUUUAUCUGUCCCAUGUAGUUAAUCCUCGGUCUUCCUCUUCCUCUUUUGCAUAUUGACACGUAGAAUAACUAAUUUACAAUGUUAUUUUUAUUUUAUAAUUCAAAUCUUGUUAUUAUUUUGUUAACUUAAAAAUUACAAUGUAAAUAUUGACUUGUCAUUUGUGUUACGAGAACUGUUACAUUUAUUAAUAAAGAAAUAUAAAUAUAAUAUAAUAUAUUGUAUUGAAAUGCUUCGCUGUAUCUUAUGUUGUUAAUCCUAUAAAUAAAUAAAUAAAUAUUUCCAAAUAAGAGAAUUUAUUUAUAUAUUUAUAUUUUUGCACGCAUUGGAAAAUGUCUACAGGGCGGACUUAAUGCCUGAUGGCAUUCUCUACCAGUCAAUCACCACGCCAGACAGAGAGAGCAAAUGGCGGUGCGUAGAUUUAAAAAAAUGUAAAUUAAAUAAUUAUUUUGAGAGAUAACAACAAUUUAAAAUGAAUAAACAUACAAACAUAUAGAAUAAGAUACUUAGAAAAAUUAUACAUAAAUAAAUUACAUACAAUACAUAUAUAUGGUAAAUAACUAUACAUAGUAUGUAUGUAAUGAAUUAUUUAAAGAACGUAUGUAAUGCAUGUAAGAAUGGACGAGUGGUAGUAUUCCAUCGCGCGUUUUUCAAGGCACUUUCUUCCACGCUCAACCAUUCUUUGGAAUCAACUUCCAGCAGCAGUAUUACCGAACCGAUACGACAACAUGACCUUCAAGAAAAGAGCAUAUUCCUUUUUAAAAGGCCGGCAGCACACCUGCAAUGCCGCUGGUGUUGCGGGUGACCAUGGCCGACGGUGGUCACUUACCAUCAAGUGCGCCGCACGCUCGUUUGCCCCUUGUAUUGUAAAAAAAUGUGACUCCUCUAUGCGUAUCUAGCAAACUGGCUAGCUAGCUAACAAGUAGUAAUAGACAUAUUUUAAUGUGUGUUAAAAAGUAUAAAUAAAUAAAUAAAUAAUAUACAAAAAAAGUGCAUAGUUUUAAGUAUUAUUAUGUAUUAUGAAUAAAUAAAUAUUUAUUGAACUAAAUAAUAAAUUAAUUUAUAUUUAGAAUUAACAUCUGCGUGCUGACAGAGAGGUUUGUUUGAAUCGUAGCAUUUGGCGUUGCAUUGUUUCUGUCUACCGUAAUGGGAGACAGGCGUGACAGAUAUGUAUGUAUGUAACUACGUGCUAUUUAUGUAUUAUUAAUUGAAAAAUGCAAUUUUUACCUUUUCCUGUAUGAAAUACAUUUACAAAAAUAUUGUAAAAUUAAUAUACGUUUAAAACAAAAUUAUAGUACAA